Molecule: transfer RNA, 72 nt
Filed under: Albula goreensis
Lineage: Eukaryota; Metazoa; Chordata; Actinopteri; Albuliformes; Albulidae
Rfam family: tRNA
About the family: Transfer RNA (tRNA) molecules are approximately 80 nucleotides in length. Their secondary structure includes four short double-helical elements and three loops (D, anti-codon, and T loops). Further hydrogen bonds mediate the characteristic L-shaped molecular structure. tRNAs have two regions of fundamental functional importance: the anti-codon, which is responsible for specific mRNA codon recognition, and the 3' end, to which the tRNAs corresponding amino acid is attached (by aminoacyl-tRNA synthetases). tRNAs cope with the degeneracy of the genetic code in two manners: having more than one tRNA (with a specific anti-codon) for a particular amino acid; and 'wobble' base-pairing, i.e. permitting non-standard base-pairing at the 3rd anti-codon position.
Source: Rfam by way of RNAcentral
GCUGUGAUCGUAUAGUGGUUAGUACUCUGCGUUGUGGCCACAGCAACCUCGGUUCGAAUCCAGGUCACGGCA